CCUUCCGUGGCUCAUUCAGCAGAGCGCUCGACCGAUAAUCGAGAGGUAGCGGGUGCGACUCCUGCCGGAAGGACCA
This 76-nucleotide transfer RNA is filed under the name Verrucomicrobiia bacterium. RNAcentral's name for it is "tRNA-Ile". It matches the Rfam family "tRNA". Rfam says of the family: Transfer RNA (tRNA) molecules are approximately 80 nucleotides in length. Their secondary structure includes four short double-helical elements and three loops (D, anti-codon, and T loops). The record is from RNAcentral. Lineage: Bacteria; Pseudomonadati; Verrucomicrobiota; Verrucomicrobiia.